RNAcentral lists this ribosomal RNA (728 nucleotides) under Pseudomonas sp. 110921_PC_C_C2. Its description in RNAcentral is "bacterial SSU rRNA". It matches the Rfam family "Bacterial small subunit ribosomal RNA", at positions 20 to 741 of the family's 1533-position model. Lineage: Bacteria; Pseudomonadati; Pseudomonadota; Gammaproteobacteria; Pseudomonadales; Pseudomonadaceae. The record is from RNAcentral.
UGGCUCAGAUUGAACGCUGGCGGCAGGCCUAACACAUGCAAGUCGAGCGGCAGCACGGGUACUUGUACCUGGUGGCGAGCGGCGGACGGGUGAGUAAUGCCUAGGAAUCUGCCUGGUAGUGGGGGAUAACGUUCGGAAACGAACGCUAAUACCGCAUACGUCCUACGGGAGAAAGCAGGGGACCUUCGGGCCUUGCGCUAUCAGAUGAGCCUAGGUCGGAUUAGCUAGUUGGUGAGGUAAUGGCUCACCAAGGCGACGAUCCGUAACUGGUCUGAGAGGAUGAUCAGUCACACUGGAACUGAGACACGGUCCAGACUCCUACGGGAGGCAGCAGUGGGGAAUAUUGGACAAUGGGCGAAAGCCUGAUCCAGCCAUGCCGCGUGUGUGAAGAAGGUCUUCGGAUUGUAAAGCACUUUAAGUUGGGAGGAAGGGCAGUUACCUAAUACGUAAUUGUUUUGACGUUACCGACAGAAUAAGCACCGGCUAACUCUGUGCCAGCAGCCGCGGUAAUACAGAGGGUGCAAGCGUUAAUCGGAAUUACUGGGCGUAAAGCGCGCGUAGGUGGUUCGUUAAGUUGGAUGUGAAAUCCCCGGGCUCAACCUGGGAACUGCAUUCAAAACUGUCGAGCUAGAGUAUGGUAGAGGGUGGUGGAAUUUCCUGUGUAGCGGUGAAAUGCGUAGAUAUAGGAAGGAACACCAGUGGCGAAGGCGACCACCUGGACUGAUACU